CUCUCUACCCCGCGCAAGCCUCCCUCUCGAUUUUUCAAAAUUCUUCUCAAAAAUUUCUACAGUUUUAAAAAUCGGUCCAACAAAUGCAAAUAAAUCUUCAUAAACCUCGAUCUAAGGGCUUUAUUGUGGAUGGAAAAUGGUGGUGAUUUAUAUUGAUAAAAUACAUGUAUUCCUACUAUUGCUCAGUUUUGUGGACCAAUUCCUGACUUUUUUUGUUUGUGAGAAGAAAGGGCAAAUAAGUGGGUUUAUAAGAAUUUAGUAGAAUUAUUUGUCCAAUUUUAUGAAAAGAAAUGAAUAGGAAUUUUCAUUAAGAAAUGAUAAAAUGCCUUAAUUAGGAUAGAACUACUUCUAUUUGCUUUCUAUAGAAAAAUGAGAAAUAUUAGUGCUCUUUGAUCAAUCUUGACUGUUAUGGAACAAUCUAUCAAGAUAAACUGUUGUUUUCGACUGUUAUGUUCUGAAAUUCUUGACAGUUAAUACUUUU
Molecule: long non-coding RNA, 481 nt
Organism: Olea europaea var. sylvestris
Lineage: Eukaryota; Viridiplantae; Streptophyta; Magnoliopsida; Lamiales; Oleaceae
Exons: 2
Source: RefSeq, a predicted model, not a curated record